Molecule: ribosomal RNA, 868 nt
Filed under: Salmonella enterica subsp. enterica serovar Berta
Lineage: Bacteria; Pseudomonadati; Pseudomonadota; Gammaproteobacteria; Enterobacterales; Enterobacteriaceae
Description: partial 23S ribosomal RNA
Rfam family: Bacterial large subunit ribosomal RNA
Source: RNAcentral
CGUAACUAUAACGGUCCUAAGGUAGCGAAAUUCCUUGUCGGGUAAGUUCCGACCUGCACGAAUGGCGUAAUGAUGGCCAGGCUGUCUCCACCCGAGACUCAGUGAAAUUGAACUCGCUGUGAAGAUGCAGUGUACCCGCGGCAAGACGGAAAGACCCCGUGAACCUUUACUAUAGCUUGACACUGAACAUUGAGCCUUGAUGUGUAGGAUAGGUGGGAGGCUUUGAAGUGUGGACGCCAGUCUGCAUGGAGCCGACCUUGAAAUACCACCCUUUAAUGUUUGAUGUUCUAACGUGGACCCGUUACCCGGGUUGCGGACAGUGUCUGGUGGGUAGUUUGACUGGGGCGGUCUCCUCCUAAAGAGUAACGGAGGAGCACGAAGGUUGGCUAAUCCUGGUCGGACAUCAGGAGGUUAGUGCAAUGGCAUAAGCCAGCUUGACUGCGAGCGUGACGGCGCGAGCAGGUGCGAAAGCAGGUCAUAGUGAUCCGGUGGUUCUGAAUGGAAGGGCCAUCGCUCAACGGAUAAAAGGUACUCCGGGGAUAACAGGCUGAUACCGCCCAAGAGUUCAUAUCGACGGCGGUGUUUGGCACCUCGAUGUCGGCUCAUCACAUCCUGGGGCUGAAGUAGGUCCCAAGGGUAUGGCUGUUCGCCAUUUAAAGUGGUACGCGAGCUGGGUUUAGAACGUCGUGAGACAGUUCGGUCCCUAUCUGCCGUGGGCGCUGGAGAACUGAGGGGGGCUGCUCCUAGUACGAGAGGACCGGAGUGGACGCAUCACUGGUGUUCGGGUUGUCAUGCCAAUGGCACUGCCCGGUAGCUAAAUGCGGAAGAGAUAAGUGCUGAAAGCAUCUAAGCACGAAACUUGCCCCGA